RNAcentral lists this ribosomal RNA (411 nucleotides) under uncultured microorganism. RNAcentral describes it as "bacterial SSU rRNA". It matches the Rfam family "Archaeal small subunit ribosomal RNA", at positions 330 to 740 of the family's 1478-position model. The record is from RNAcentral.
GUGCAGCAGGCGAGAAACCUCCGCAAUGCGCGCAAGCGCGACGGGGCCAUCCCGAGUGCCGCUCGCUGAGGGCGGCUUUUCUCCGGUGUAAGUAGCCGGAGGAAUAAGGAGAGGGCAAGUCUGGUGUCAGCCGCCCGCGGUAAUACCGAGCUCUCCGAGUGGUGGGGACGAUUAUUGGGCCUAAAGCGUCCGUAGCCGGCCUGACAAGUCUCCCGUUAAAUCCAGCGGCCUAACCGCUGGGCUGCGGGAGAUACUGUCAAGCUUGGGGGCGGGAGAGGCCAGCGGUAUCCCCGGGGUAGGGGUGAAAUCCGUUAAUCCCGGGAGGACCACCAGUGGCGAAGGCGGCCGGCCAGAACGCGCCCGACGGUGAGGGACGAAAGCUGGGGGAGCGGAACCGGAUUAGAUACCCCU